CCUGAACGCUGGCGGCGUGGCUAAGACAUGCAAGUCGCACGGUGUAGCAAUACACAGUGGCGGACGGGUGAGUAAGGUAUCGCUAACGUACCCCGGGCUCUGGGAUAGCCAUCCGAAAGGGUGGGUAAUACCAGAUGAGACCACGGCAGGGCAUCCUGCUGUGCUCAAAGCUCCGGUGGCCUGGGAUCGGGCGAUAUGGUAUCAGGUAGUUGGUAGGGUAACGGCAUACCAAGCCUUCGACGCCUAGCCGGACUGAGAGGUCGGCCGGCCACAUCGGGACUGAGACACUGCCCGGACUCCUACGGGGGGCUGCAGUAACGAAUCUUCCACAAUGCACGAAAGUGUGAUGGAGCGACGCCGCGUGCUGGAUGAAGUUCUUCGGAAUGUAAACAGCUGUCAGGGGUAAGAAAGUUCUGAUCUAUCCCAGAGGAAGUAGCGACUAACUCUGUGCCAGCCGCCGCGGUAACAC
Molecule: ribosomal RNA, 469 nt
Filed under: uncultured bacterium
Lineage: Bacteria
Description: bacterial SSU rRNA
Rfam family: Bacterial small subunit ribosomal RNA
Source: RNAcentral